This 728-nucleotide ribosomal RNA is filed under the name uncultured bacterium. Its description in RNAcentral is "bacterial SSU rRNA". It matches the Rfam family "Bacterial small subunit ribosomal RNA", at positions 61 to 800 of the family's 1533-position model. The record is from RNAcentral.
GUCGAACGAGACCUUCGGGUCUAGUGGCGCACGGGUGCGUAACGCGUAGGCAAUCUACCCGAUACAGGGGAAUAACACGGGGAAACUCGUGCUAAUACCGCGUAAUAAAUGAGAAGGCAUCUUCUUAUUUUAAAAGCUUCGGCGGUAUCGGAAGAGCCUGCGUCCUAUUAGCUAGUUGGUAAGGUAACAGCUUACCAAGGCGACGAUAGGUAGGGGAACUGAGAGGUUGAUCCCCCACACUGGUACUGAGAUACGGACCAGACUCCUACGGGAGGCAGCAGUGAGGAAUAUUGGUCAAUGGACGGAAGUCUGAACCAGCCAUGUCGCGUGUCGGAAGACGGCCCUCUGGGUUGUAAACGGCUUUUCUUUGGGAAGAACACGCUCUUGCGAGAGCAACUGACGGUACCAAAGGAAUAAGCACCGGCUAACUACGUGCCAGCAGCCGCGGUAAUACGUAGGGUGCAAGCGUUGUCCGGAUUUAUUGGGUUUAAAGGGUGCGUAGGCGGCUAUUUAAGUCGUGGGUGAAAGCCCGUCGCUUAACGACGGAAUUGCCUGCGAUACUGGAUAGCUUGAGUAUCGUUAAGGUUGGCGGAAUGGGAGGUGUAGCGGUGAAAUGCAUAGAUACCUUCCAGAACACCGAUUGCGUAGGCAGCUGACUAGGCGAUAACUGACGCUGAGGCACGAAAGCGUGGGGAGCGAACAGGAUUAGAUACCCUGGUAGUCCACGC